UACGUAGGGUGGCAAGCGUUGUCCGGAAUUAUUGGGCGUAAAGCGCGCGCAGGCGGUCCUUUAAGUCUGAUGUGAAAAGCCCAGCGGCUCAACCGUGGAGGGUCAUUGGAAACUGGGGGGACUUGAGUGCAGAAGAGGAAAGCGGAAUUCCACGUGUAGCGGAUGAAAUGCGUAGAGAUGUGGAGGAACACCAGUGGCGAAGGCGGCUUUCUGGUCGUGAUAACUGACGCUGAGGCGCGAAAGCGUGGGGAGCAAACAGG
RNAcentral lists this ribosomal RNA (260 nucleotides) under uncultured bacterium. RNAcentral describes it as "partial 16S ribosomal RNA". It matches the Rfam family "Bacterial small subunit ribosomal RNA", at positions 524 to 776 of the family's 1533-position model. The record is from RNAcentral.